Molecule: long non-coding RNA, 166 nt
Organism: Pollicipes pollicipes
Lineage: Eukaryota; Metazoa; Arthropoda; Thecostraca; Pollicipedomorpha; Pollicipedidae
Exons: 3
Source: RefSeq, a predicted model, not a curated record
CCGGAGACCAUGAUCAGGCACAUCAUGGAGACGCCGGUGACGGAGCGGGAGUUCCUCGAGCAGCUGUUCACCCUCGACCAGAAGCUGAGCUUCGUCAAGGAGCAGAGCUUCAGAGAGGCCAAGUCAUGCCAUGACGUUAACGACGUGUUAGAGAAGCUAAAGGUCA